Molecule: ribosomal RNA, 230 nt
Filed under: uncultured Anoxybacillus sp.
Lineage: Bacteria; Bacillati; Bacillota; Bacilli; Caryophanales; Anoxybacillaceae
Description: partial 16S ribosomal RNA
Rfam family: Bacterial small subunit ribosomal RNA
Source: RNAcentral
CCGGUAAUAAACCGGAGGAAGUGGGGAUGACGUCAAAUCAUCAUGCCCCUUAUGACCUGGGCUACACACGUGCUACAAUGGGCGGUACAAAGGGUCGCGAACCCGCGAGGAGGAGCCAAUCCCAAAAAGCCGCUCUCAGUUCGGAUUGCAGGCUGCAACUCGCCUGCAUGAAGCCGGAAUCGCUAGUAAUCGCGGAUCAGCAUGCCGCGGUGAAUACGUUCCCGGGCCUU